GACAUUAAGAAUGCUGUUUGCAGAAGUAACAUUCCUUUGAACACUCAGCUUUCUGAAAUGGUGUCCCACCACAAGGACUGGAGAAGGGUAAACCUCAGGUUCUCCUCCUGCCUUUUGCUAAGUAUAUGUCUUGAUGACAAGCCUUCUGCUAAUGAGCUGUGUUUCUGGACCGAUCAUGGUAGAAGUCAAUUGAAGUGUCCCUCACUUGGGGUUUCUUAAGGGUAUGUUACCACAAAGACUCUCAUACUCCCUUUUUUGUGAUCUCCCUUUCCCAUUCUACACUUGUGUGCUGAAUCUGUUCAGCAUUACAGUUAGUGCACUUACAUGUCCACUAAAAAGUGGAAAUUAAUUUAAUUACCAAUGAAGUAACAAGAACUUAGUUUGGCAAUGGAUUUCUUCUAUAAUCCAAAGCCAAGUUACCUUUCCACUCCUGGCUCUAAAGAUUGCUCAACUGUGUAAAUCAUCUGUGCCACAUGAAAUAACUCAAAGUACGUUCUUUCACCUCCUACUCAUUCUAUGUACACCAAAUAAAACUCCACAUCUUUUGGAGAGUUCAUUCACUGUUCAGAGAAGGCUGUGAGGUAUGCAUGAUAUUUAAUCCAGAAGGAAUUCAAGUGAUGUUUGUUUUAGAAAUAGAAAGCAAAGAAUGAUUAUGCUGCAAAUAUUAUCAUGAAGACAUUUAUAAGUAUAUUACAAAUGCAUGUUUCCCCCCAAAUAAUUGACGAAACACUAUUACUUGCCUUUAAAAUAAUGCACAAUUAAUGA
RNAcentral lists this long non-coding RNA (765 nucleotides) under Pongo abelii (Sumatran orangutan). RNAcentral's name for it is "lincRNA". The record is from RNAcentral. Lineage: Eukaryota; Metazoa; Chordata; Mammalia; Primates; Hominidae.